AUUGAACGCUGGCGGCAUGCCUUACACAUGCAAGUCGAACGGAUCAGAGGAGCUUGCUCUUCUGGUUAGUGGCGAACGGGUGAGUAAUGCAUCGGAACGUACCCAGUAGUGGGGGAUAACGUAGCGAAAGUUACGCUAAUACCGCAUACGACCUGAGGGUGAAAGCAGGGGAUCGCAAGACCUUGCGCUAUUGGAGCGGCCGAUGUCGGAUUAGCGAGUUGGUAGGGUAAAAGCCUACCAAGGCGACGAUCCGUAGCUGGUCUGAGAGGACGACCAGCCACACUGGGACUGAGACACGGCCCAGACUCCUACGGGAGGCAGCAGUGGGGAAUUUUGGACAAUGGGGGAAACCCUGAUCCAGCCAUGCCGCGUGAGUGAAGAAGGCCUUCGGGUUGUAAAGCUCUUUCAGACGGAAAGAAAUCUUCCGGGCUAAUACCUCGGGAGGAUGACGGUACCGUAAGAAGAAGCACCGGCUAACUACGUGCCAGCAGCCGCCGUAA
This 500-nucleotide ribosomal RNA is filed under the name uncultured bacterium. Its description in RNAcentral is "partial 16S ribosomal RNA". It matches the Rfam family "Bacterial small subunit ribosomal RNA", at positions 30 to 523 of the family's 1533-position model. The record is from RNAcentral.